AUACGUAUGUCGCAAGCGUUAUCCGGAUUUAUUGGGCGUAAAGCGCGUCUAGGCGGCUUAGUAAGUCUGAUGUGAAAAUGCGGGGCUCAACCCCGUAUUGCGUUGGAAACUGCUAAACUAGAGUACUGGAGAGGUAGGCGGAACUACAAGUGUAGAGGUGAAAUUCGUAGAUAUUUGUAGGAAUGCCGAUGGGGAAGCCAGCCUACUGGACAGAUACUGACGCUAAAGCGCGAAAGCGUGGGUAGCAAACAGGAUUAGAUACCCUGGUAGUCCACGCCGUAAACGAUGAUUACUAGGUGUUGGGGGUCGAACCUCAGCGCCCAAGCUAACGCGAUAAGUAAUCCGCCUGGGGAGUACGUACGCAAGUAUGAAACUCAAAGGAAUUGACGGGG
RNAcentral lists this ribosomal RNA (392 nucleotides) under uncultured bacterium. RNAcentral describes it as "partial 16S ribosomal RNA". It matches the Rfam family "Bacterial small subunit ribosomal RNA", at positions 523 to 918 of the family's 1533-position model. The record is from RNAcentral.